RNAcentral lists this ribosomal RNA (468 nucleotides) under uncultured bacterium. RNAcentral describes it as "partial 16S ribosomal RNA". It matches the Rfam family "Bacterial small subunit ribosomal RNA", at positions 28 to 507 of the family's 1533-position model. The record is from RNAcentral.
GACGAACGCUGGCGGCGGGCUUAACACAUGCAAGUCGAACGGAAAGGCCCUGCUUUUGUGGGGUGCUCGAGUGGCGAACGGGUGAGUAACACGUGAGUAACCUGCCCUUGACUUGGGGAUAACUUCAGGAAACUGGGGCUAAUACCGGAUAGUAGCUCCUGCUGCAUGGUGGGGGUUGGAAAGUUUCGGCGGUUGGGGAUGGACUCGCGGCUUAUCAGCUUGUUGGUGGGGUAGUGGCUUACCAAGGCUUUGACGGGUAGCCGGCCUGAGAGGGUGACCGGCCACAUUGGGACUGAGAUACGGCCCAGACUCCUACGGGAGGCAGCAGUGGGGAAUAUUGCACAAUGGGCGGAAGCCUGAUGCAGCAACGCCGCGUGCGGGAUGACGGCCUUCGGGUUGUAAACCGCUUUCGCCUGUGACGAAGCGUGAGUGACGGUAAUGGGUAAAGAAGCACCGGCUAACUACGUG